GAUCAUGGCUCAGGAUGAACGCUGGCGGCGUGCCUAAUACAUGCAAGUAGAACGCUGAAGCUUGGUGCUUGCACCGAGCGGAGGAGUUGCGAACGGGUGAGUAACGCGUAGGUAACCUGCCUCUUAGCGGGGGGAUAACUAUUGGAAACGAUAGCUAAUACCGCAUAAAAGUACGACAUUGCAUGAUGUUGUACUUGAAAGGUAGGCAAAUAGCAUCACCUAAGAAGAAUGGACCGUCG
Molecule: ribosomal RNA, 239 nt
Filed under: uncultured bacterium
Lineage: Bacteria
Description: partial 16S ribosomal RNA
Rfam family: Bacterial small subunit ribosomal RNA
Source: RNAcentral